GAUGAACGCUAGCUGCAGGCUUAACACAUGCAAGUCGAGGGGAAACGACAUCGAAAGCUUGCUUUUGAUGGGCGUCGACCGGCGCACGGGUGAGUAACGCGUAUCCAACCUGCCCAUCACUUGGGAAUAACCUUGCGAAAGUAAGACUAAUACCCAAUGACAUCCCACGAAGACAUCUGAAUGGGAUUAAAGAUUUAUCGGUGAUGGAUGGGGAUGCGUCUGAUUAGCUUGUUGGCGGGGUAACGGCCCACCAAGGCAACGAUCAGUAGGGGUUCUGAGAGGAAGGUCCCCCACAUUGGAACUGAGACACGGUCCAAACUCCUACGGGAGGCAGCAGUGAGGAAUAUUGGUCAAUGGGCGAGAGCCUGAACCAGCCAAGUAGCGUGCAGGAUGACGGCCCUAUGGGUUGUAAACUGCUUUUAUAAGGGAAUAAAGUGAGCCUCGUGAGACUUUUUGCAUGUACCUUAUGAAUAAGGACCGGCUAAUUCCGUG
RNAcentral lists this ribosomal RNA (492 nucleotides) under uncultured bacterium. RNAcentral describes it as "partial 16S ribosomal RNA". It matches the Rfam family "Bacterial small subunit ribosomal RNA", at positions 28 to 507 of the family's 1533-position model. The record is from RNAcentral.